GCCCGGUUCCUGGUAUGCGAUUAGGCAUGCGAGUCGAGAGGUGAAGACCUCGGCGGACGGCUGAGUAACACGCGGAUAAUCUGCCCUGGAGUGGGGGACAAUCUCGGGAAACUGAGGAUAAUACCCCAUAGGUGUGGUGUGCUGGAAUGCUUCCACGCUCAAAGCUCCGGCGCUCCAGGAUGAGUCUGCGGCCUAUCAGGCUGUAGUGGGUGUAACGGACCCACUAACCGACGACGGGUAGGGGCGUUGAGAGACGGAGCCCCCAGAUGGAUUCUGAGACACGAAUCCAGGCCCUACGGGGCGCAGCAGCUACGAAAACUGUGCAAUGUGGGAAACCACGACACGGGCGUACCGAGUGCCAAGGCUUUGCUUUGGCUGUUCUUUCGCCUAAAAAGCGAGAGAAGUAAGGGCCGGGUAAGACGGGUGCCAGCCGCCGCGGUAAUACCCGCGGCCCGAGUGGUGCUCAUUAUUAUUGAGCUUAAAGCGUCCGUAGCCGGCCUCGUAAAUCUUUGGGUAAAUCGGGCAGCUUAACUGUUCGAAUUCCGAGGAGACUGCGAGGCUCGGGACCGGGAGAGGUUCGAGGUACUCCGGGGGUAGGGGUAAAAUCCUGUAAUCCUCAGAGGACCACCAGUGGCGAAGGCGUCGAACUAGAACGGAUCCGACGGUGAGGGACGAAGCCCUGGGGCGCAAACGGGAUUAGAUACCCCGGUAGUCCAGGGUGUAAACGCUGCGGGUUUGGUGUCGGAGGUCCUACGCGGGCGUCCGGUGCCGGAGAGAAAUUGUUAAACCUGCCGCUUGGGGAGUACGGUCGCAAGACUGAAACUUAAAG
RNAcentral lists this ribosomal RNA (829 nucleotides) under uncultured archaeon. RNAcentral describes it as "bacterial SSU rRNA". It matches the Rfam family "Archaeal small subunit ribosomal RNA", at positions 24 to 861 of the family's 1478-position model. The record is from RNAcentral.